GAGGGAAAAAGUUGGACUUUUACCAAGUAUCUUAGGAAGUGAUCUAUCUUUGCCAUGCUUUAGUGCGCAGUGGAAAAUGAAGAACUUGUCCAGCAUCUGGGGGCUGCUAAGGAUGCCCAGCGGCAGCUCACAGCCGAGGUGAGCACCUCUCCCUCAUUCCUUCAGUGCCUCUGAUUGCAGCCAAGGUGGAUUAGCCUUCCCGGACAGCUUUAGUCACGUCCAUCGCAACUACUGUUUUUAUUUUGAAUUUCAUUUCAUUUUUAUUCGUGGGAGAGUAAACCCAGUUGCACCUUGGUUCUGUGCCCACUGACACUGU
RNAcentral lists this long non-coding RNA (316 nucleotides) under Homo sapiens (human). Its description in RNAcentral is "long non-coding RNA NONHSAT193786". The record is from RNAcentral. Lineage: Eukaryota; Metazoa; Chordata; Mammalia; Primates; Hominidae.